Molecule: long non-coding RNA, 4315 nt
Filed under: Sus scrofa (pig)
Lineage: Eukaryota; Metazoa; Chordata; Mammalia; Artiodactyla; Suidae
Description: lncRNA (ENSSSCG00000053673.1)
Source: RNAcentral
CAGUGAGAAGGCAGCCAUCUAUCUACCAAGGAGAGAGGCCUCAGGAGAAACCAAGCACCUUGCAGACAGCUUGACGUUGGGCUUCCCAGCCUCCAGAACUAUCAGGAAAUUAAUUUCUCUUUUUAAGCCAGAAAGUCUAUGGUAUUUUGUUAUGGCAGCCCAAGCAAAAUAAUACAACAACCUAUAACUUUAAUAUGAUUUUUAUCACCAUCUUACAAAGGGCAAAACAGUCUCAAGAUCGUAUGAAACUUGCCCAGCACAAAUGACAAAGCUGAAGUUUGAGAGUCAGUUGUCUGACUCCAGAAUACAAACUCUUAGCAUUAUGUCCAGUUGCUUCUCUUCCAUGCUCCACUACGUAUGUGCAUAGCCUAUUUAUUGCUGCAUAGUAAUACAGCCCACAACCUAAUGGCUUAAAACAGCAACACUUAUUUUGCUUAAGCAACAGAAAUUUGGUGUCAGCUGAGGUCUAGCUCUCUCUUGUUUGGUCACUGAUGCUGUCUGUCAGGACCUAACUGGACCUGUUGAUCCAGACACUUCAUGUGGCCUCUCUUAGGUGGCUGAGCUUCUUCCUAACAUAGCCAUGGGCUCCAAGGUGAGAAUCCUGAGAGGCAGAGCCCAGCAGAUGCUGUAUCACCUUUUCUACCCCAGCCUUGGAAGACACACAGCAUCACUUUCAUUAGAAUCCAAUCGCUAAAGCCAGCCCAUGUUCAAGGGAAGAGGAAUUUGAUGCUACCUUUUGAUAGGAGGAGUGCCAAGAAAUGAACCUGCCUACAUGUUUUAAAACCACUAUAGCACAUGCGCUGUUGACAGAGUUGUCCAUGUUUUACGACAGGUGUUUAUUUACCAGCAGCACCAUAUCACUGAAAGAGCAUCAAGCUGGGGGUCCAAAGCCCUGAGCAAUAGUCUUUCAGCUGCAAGGGGCCAGGAUUCUACAACCCAUGCAUGGAAAGAAUAGGACCUGCUUUGGGUUCAGCCACCCUCUUCUCUGUGGGACUUAGGACACUUAACUCCAUUCCAGUCUCUAAAACAAACACUGAUCUCCAUCAAAAGGAGUUUUAGGAUGCUGCUCUUCUGAUGCUCCAUGUGUCUCUGUUAUAACUUGAGUCCUACCUUGUCCCGGUGCCCAAGCCACUGUCCAGAAAACGUAGCAAGCCGUGUAGUACUGAGCACUUCCUUUGGUGGCAGACACUACCACUGGCACUUCAUGUUUAUUUCAUUAAGCUCUCCUUUUAACCUGAUGAAGUAAGUAAUAUUAUACUCCCCAUUUUAUAGAGAAACUAAUGCUCAGGGGAGGUAAGUCAUUGGCCCAAAAGUUAGUAAAGGACAGAGCCAUAACUCUAGGCUGUGCCCUGAACAGUUCUAUCUCCUCCAGGACCCCUGCCCAACAUCCAGGCCCUGUUGACAGGCUUCCUGCACAGCCCAGCUGCCUGCCAGGACAUCUGAUGGUUUCUGGAUUGGUCCCCUCUCUGCCCCACUGAACUUUUGGGGACUCGCCAUGCUCCUUGUUGGACUUUAUCUCUGCACCCCCUGCAUCAUGAGCUACUCACUCACCAGACUCUUAACUAGAAAUGGCUGUCAUACUGGGUUCGCCCUCCUGAUCUACAUCUAAGCCUUUCAUGUCUGUCCCACCCAUCCUGGUAACUGGAGAGUACCCUGGCCUGGAUAGAGAGCAAAACCAAGCAAAACAGCAUCACAAUUGAAAAAAAAGCGGAGGAUCCAGAGUCAUACCAAGCUAGAUCCAAGUCCUGACUCCACCAUUUAUUACUUGUAGGCAAAAAUAAUGAGACCCACGUUGCCAUAUUGUGAGGAUUGAGUUAAUACAUGUACAGGACUUAGCACAGUGCCUGAUACAUAGUAAAUGCUUAAUAAAUAUUAGUCAUCUUUGCUGUUGUUAUUAUCAGUAAUAUUUGUAAAAGAUCCACUAGAGAGCCUAGCAUAUGGUAGGCAUUCAAAAAAUGAUAGCUGUUAAUCUCAUUGUUUAAAUCCUGGAAAAGCUACAGGAAUUCAGCGAAGGGCCAGAUAACAAGGUAGCGAAGACAGAAAACAGGCUGCCCAAGCAACUGUGCAGCUCUGCAGAUCUCUGCCUAAGCCUCGAGCUUGGGUAUGACUGGCCUUGAUUAAGUGGAAACGCCCCUUCCAGAGCUCACAUCUUCAUCUCUCUCAAUUAGGAGAUGACAAGAGCUUCCUGAGCUUGGAAGCCCCCGGGAAAAGAAAUUUCAAGAAAGAAUAUCAGAAAACAAUCUUUGUCUGUGCUCCGGCCCAGCAUCCCCUGUUGUGGCAGUGCAGACCACUGGCCACCACAUCCUGCUUUGCUCAUCCAGUUGUCUUACUGAUCUAUGGUUUCACAGGCUUCAUCUGAAGCUGCAAGUUCUUAAAAGGCUGGUGAAUGUGGUCAGAAUAUGUAUAGGUCUCCCAACUUCAAAUCCUCUCCAGGUUGAGCUGUAACAAGGACAGCAAGCAGGUGGACAGCAAGCAAUCAUCAUGUUUAUAAGAGGUGGGCCAUCACACACACACACACACACACCCCUUUGAGCAUUUGGGAGCUGAUGUACUGGUAGUGUCCUCUUCCACUGCAUUGUUCCUGCUGCUAUAUCCCUAGGGUUCUCUGGUCUAGACCCACCAGUGCUUGCAGAUCCUGAGCCAGUGCUGAUCAAGCCGGGAGGAGAGUGGGGGAGCAGAUUACCAAGUUUGAACAAACCAUGGGAGUUCUCUUGUGGCACAAUGGGUUAAAGACCUGGCAUUGUCGUUGCAGUGGCUUGGGCCACUGCUGUGGUGUGGGUUCAAUCCCUGGCCCAGAAACUUCCACAUGCCUUGGGCAUGGCCAAAAAAAAAAAAAAAAAAAGUUUGAACAGACCCAGUGGCUUAGAAUAAUGUCACCAGAUCAGUUACAACUGCUUGGCUCCUAUGUUCCUCAUGAUUUUCCUUCAAGCCAGAUGAUCAAUGAGGUGACAGAUACAUUCUCCAGACCACUCUCAUUUCCAUCUUCCAAUCAGACAUGGAUCUGGUGCCCUCUGGGAUGACCUUGAAGAGCCCCCAUUACUGCUCAUGUUGCCUGGGAUCUGAGCUCUCCCUUCUCUGCUCCAGGCUUUGCCCUCUCCUGAAUACAAAACUCCUUCUGCCUCGGUUUCUAGUGCCUAAUUUUGCCUCAAAUCCAGUUCUCCUCUAUAUCAGUCAGCUAUUGCUAGGAUAAUACUGUAAAAUAAUCCUGGAAGCUUACUAGCUUAUAAAAACAAAUGGUUAUUUUUCUCACAGUCUGUGGAUUGGGUGGAGUGGCUCUGAUUCAGGCUGUGGGUCAUUGAGAGAUCAGCUCCAUUUGUCACUCAUUCUGGGACCACCAGCUACCUGGGCAGGCUCACCUCAUCAUGGAUAGAAGAAACACAAGAAAAGGCCAGUGGAAACUUCCCACGACUCUUAAGUCCUUAUCUCAGAACUGGCCACUGUGAAAUCCACCCAUAUCCACUGGCCAAGGCCAGCCAAAUGGCCAAGCCCAAAGUCCAAUGGAUGGGAAAACUCCAUUUAUACUAGUAGGAUUACUACUUAUUUUUAUAAGUAGAGCACUUAUAAUAAUGCUCCGCUUAUUUUAGCAGGGCGUGUGCGAAGUCAUAUGGCAAAGGGCAUGAACAGAUAAUUCUAUGACAGGGAAGGAGGGAAGAAUUGAGAAUAAUAACACAGUCUCCAACAUUUCUUAAACCAGAACCCUGUUAUGAGCUCAAAAGUGAAUUCCUAGCUCCUAUUUGCCUGCCAGGCCUCCUUACCCCAGCUCAGGCUUAGGGGCUGGCUCUGUGUGGACUCAACUCCCCCAUGGAGAACCCCCUUGCCCACUUGACUGCCAGCCAUCGACUGUCAAUCGCCUCUCUUGCUGUGAUUUACCCUGACUGCUCCUCCAAAAACCUUCAAGAAGCCUACCAGCCUGAUCAGCUCCUUGGUCCCUAGUAUAUCCUGGCUUCAGAAGGUUCUGGGAAGAAUUUGGAGGCUGAAAAACUACUGGGAAAGCAAGGCAGCUUCUCUUGCUCUCUCACUGUCCCCUGCUCUAUGUUUUCUCUCUCUGUGCUCUCUUCACAUCUGCACAUCAUUUUUUCCUCUGGAAACCAGCUUUUUCUGCUCCUCCACUGACGUGGUGGAAUAGGGUCUGCUCCAGCCCUGGGGCUAUAGAAGCUCCCACUUCCAGCACCAUUACCCAGCUCUGUCUCACUUCCAAAAUCCCAGGGAAAUACCCCAGUCAAUCCUGGCCGGGAUCACAUAGCACAAACAUUGUUACCCGCCCCCUCUCCAAGGAAGAAAAGAGAAGUACGGGCUGCCAGACACCAAAAAAAAG